This 1372-nucleotide ribosomal RNA is filed under the name uncultured bacterium. RNAcentral describes it as "bacterial SSU rRNA". It matches the Rfam family "Bacterial small subunit ribosomal RNA", at positions 28 to 1381 of the family's 1533-position model. The record is from RNAcentral.
GAUGAACGCUGGCGGCGUGCCUAAUACAUGCAAGUCGAGCGAACGGACGAGAAGCUUGCUUUUCUGAUGUUAGCGGCGGACGGGUGAGUAACACGUGGAUAACCUACCUAUAAGACUGGGAUAACUUCGGGAAACCGGAGCUAAUACCGGAUAAUAUUUUGAACCGCAUGGUUCAAAAGUGAAAGACGGUCUUGCUGUCACUUAUAGAUGGAUCCGCGCUGCAUUAGCUAGUUGGUAAGGUAACGGCUUACCAAGGCAACGAUGCAUAGCCGACCUGAGAGGGUGAUCGGCCACACUGGAACUGAGACACGGUCCAGACUCCUACGGGAGGCAGCAGUAGGGAAUCUUCCGCAAUGGGCGAAAGCCUGACGGAGCAACGCCGCGUGAGUGAUGAAGGUCUUCGGAUCGUAAAACUCUGUUAUUAGGGAAGAACAUAUGUGUAAGUAACUGUGCACAUCUUGACGGUACCUAAUCAGAAAGCCACGGCUAACCACGUGCCAGCAGCCGCGGUAAUACGUAGGUGGCAAGCGUUAUCCGGAAUUAUUGGGCGUAAAGCGCGCGUAGGCGGUUUUUUAAGUCUGAUGUGAAAGCCCACGGCUCAACCGUGGAGGGUCAUUGGAAACUGGAAAACUUGAGUGCAGAAGAGGAAAGUGGAAUUCCAUGUGUAGCGGUGAAAUGCGCAGAGAUGUGGAGGAACACCAGUGGCGAAGGCGACUUUCUGGUCUGUAACUGACGCUGAUGUGCGAAAGCGUGGGGAUCAAACAGGAUUAGAUACCCUGGUAGUCCACGCCGUAAACGAUGAGUGCUAAGUGUUAGGGGGUUUCCGCCCCUUAGUGCUGCAGCUAACGCAUUAAGCACUCCGCCUGGGGAGUACGACCGCAAGGUUGAAACUCAAAGGAAUUGACGGGGGCCCGCACAAGCGGUGGAGCAUGUGGUUUAAUUCGAAGCAACGCGAAGAACCUUACCAAAUCUUGACAUCCUUUGACAACUCUAGAGAUAGAGCUUUCCCCUUCGGGGGACAAAGUGACAGGUGGUGCAUGGUUGUCGUCAGCUCGUGUCGUGAGAUGUUGGGUUAAGUCCCGCAACGAGCGCAACCCUUAAGCUUAGUUGCCAUCAUUAAGUUGGGCACUCUAAGUUGACUGCCGGUGACAAACCGGAGGAAGGUGGGGAUGACGUCAAAUCAUCAUGCCCCUUAUGAUUUGGGCUACACACGUGCUACAAUGGACAAUACAAAGGGCAGCGAAACCGCGAGGUCAAGCAAAUCCCAUAAAGUUGUUCUCAGUUCGGAUUGUAGUCUGCAACUCGACUACAUGAAGCUGGAAUCGCUAGUAAUCGUAGAUCAGCAUGCUACGGUGAAUACGUUCCCGGGUCU